This 581-nucleotide ribosomal RNA is filed under the name Piaractus brachypomus (pirapitinga). Its description in RNAcentral is "partial 16S ribosomal RNA". It matches the Rfam family "Bacterial large subunit ribosomal RNA", at positions 1816 to 2597 of the family's 2925-position model. Lineage: Eukaryota; Metazoa; Chordata; Actinopteri; Characiformes; Serrasalmidae. The record is from RNAcentral.
CGCCUCCUGCAUAAUAACUCAACGUAUAGGAGGUCCUGCCUGCCCAGUGACAACUAGUUAAACGGCCGCGGUAUUUUGACCGUGCUAAGGUAGCGCAAUCACUUGUCUUUUAAAUGAGGACCUGUAUGAAUGGCGGAACGAGGGCUUAACUGUCUCCUUUUCCUAGUCAAUGAAAUUGAUCUGCCCGUGCAGAAGCGGGUAUACUAAUACAAGACGAGAAGACCCUUUGGAGCUUAAGAUAAAAGGCCAACUAUGUCAAUAGGCCCAAAUAAAACUAAGCCAAACAAAACAGCCAACUGGCCAAUAUCUUCGGUUGGGGCGACCGCGGGGGAAAACAAAGCCCCCACGUGGAACGGGGAAUAUACCCUAAAACCAAGAGAGACAUCUCUAAGUCACAGAACAUCUGACCAAAAGAUCCGGCCAACCAAGCCGAUCAACGGACCAAGUUACCCUAGGGAUAACAGCGCAAUCCCCUCCAAGAGUCCAUAUCGACAAGGGGGUUUACGACCUCGAUGUUGGAUCAGGACAUCCUAAUGGUGCAGCCGCUAUUAAGGGUUCGUUUGUUCAACGAUUAAAGUCCU